This 353-nucleotide unclassified non-coding RNA is filed under the name soil metagenome. RNAcentral's name for it is "partial contains 5.8S ribosomal RNA, internal transcribed spacer 2, and large subunit ribosomal RNA". The stretch from base 1 to 120 matches the Rfam family "5.8S ribosomal RNA", at positions 35 to 154 of the family's 154-position model. The record is from RNAcentral.
GAUGAAGAACGCAGCGAAAUGCGAUAAGUAAUGUGAAUUGCAGAAUUCAGUGAAUCAUCGAAUCUUUGAACGCACAUUGCGCCCGCCAGUAUUCUGGCGGGCAUGCCUGUUCGAGCGUCAUUACAACCCUCAGGCCCCCGGGCCUGGCGUUGGGGAUCGGCGGAAGCCCCCUGCGGGCACAACGCCGUCCCCCAAAUACAGUGGCAGUCCCGCCGCAGCUUCCAUUGCGUAGUAGCUAACACCUCGCAACUGGAGAGCGGCGCGGCCACGCCGUAAAACACCCAACUUCUGAAUGUUGACCUCGAAUCAGGUAGGAAUACCCGCUGAACUUAAGCAUAUCAAUAAGCGGAGGA